CGGGGACCAUCACAUCUCCUAGCACUAUAUGUAUAAUCGUUAGUGAGCAUUCACCAAUGACACAGAGAGACAUUGCAAAGGAAUGUUGUGUGAGUUUUGGGCGCUGUAAAUAAAAUAAUAAAACAAAAUGUGGAAGAAAACGGAAAACUACUCCUCGAAAUGAAGAUUUUCUUUUGCGAGACAGCAAACUGCAUCCCAGAAAAACCAGCCACGACCGUCAGCAAAAUUUAGAAAAGGCUUGGGUGACAAUUCACAACUCUACGGUGUGUAGAAGACUCUUGAAAGGUGGGAGAAAAGCCAUAAGACCGCAGGAAGUCUCAGUUCCCCGCCAUGUUUCCAAGACUAUGGUGAAAUACUUCAAGGACAAGAAGAUUACUAUUUUGGACUAGCCUGGAAAUUCACCAGACUUCAAUCCUAGUGAGAAUCUGUGGGCCAUCUGCACAGUCAGAUUACAAAAAAUGGACUGUACCAUGAAAAUCAAAAUGGUGGAAGCAGACGCAUGGCUGAUGUAGGAAAGCGCAGGAAAUAUUUUAACUAGACCCGAGAUGCCUUCGUCGUCAUCUUUUUUAUACCCAAAAAUUGGAGUAAAAAGUGUGGUGAAGACGACCUCUACGUAAUUCCGAGGCGUAGUAGCUGAAACAUUGGUGUCCAUAACCUCCUUUACAUUGAAGUCGCUGUGGGGAACGUUUGACUUGUCCAGGGCACUCUGCAGGGCGCUCCAUAGGCAGUCAGGAUCUGCAGAGUCGUAUUCGCUAAACAACAAUGUAUUCAAUUUUUUAUGGCAUAUAGGAUAAAUAAGGAAGAAACUAUACUAACUGUCUGUCCAGAUAGUCUACGAUGCCCUUCUGGAAGACCUCUGGAGAGAUGAUAUUGGACAGCAUGUGCAGAAUCGAGGGAGCUAAAUUCAAAAAAAAUGUUAUUUAUGUUCUACAAUAUAGAAUGUUAUAGUUUGUACAAUAUGACACCUUUUUUAUAAAUGGCGAUUGAAAAGGCAGAUAUAAUUUCCUCGGGCGUUUCUAAUUCAACAUCGAUUGGAUUUGUAUGCCAUUCAGGAUCUGUAACAAGAGUAUCUUGAAGAGAAUUGAUUACAAAAUAAUCCAUCUCUCUCCAGUUCUUGUAUAUCUGGAAAUUAUGUUUGAAUGAGAAUAGGCAAUCGAAGAAAACAGUGUAGUGUUGGAAGUACGAGGCAAAUCCUUCGUUCAACCAAAUGUGCGACCACCAAAUUGGACUGACCUUAUUACCAAACCACUGAUGGGCUAACUCGUGUGCCACUGCCUUUGCAAUGUCCUGCUUUCGUUCCAGAGGAUCCUUACUCUCGUCAAAAACAAGAUAUAUUUCUCUGGAAAAGCAAAGAUCAGCAUUGAACAUUCAACUUGCCUCAAGCAUGGUUACUCACAAUCAGAAUUGAAGCAAUUACACACGUCACCAUUGCAAAUAAAAUUUUGGACAAUAAAACUGUUAUACUGUAUCAUGCGUAUCUUAUGUAUUACUAGUUGAAAAAUGCUACUUUAUACUAAAUAAAAUCAGAUUUAAAAUAGA
Molecule: long non-coding RNA, 1539 nt
Organism: Osmia lignaria (orchard mason bee)
Lineage: Eukaryota; Metazoa; Arthropoda; Insecta; Hymenoptera; Megachilidae
Source: RefSeq, a predicted model, not a curated record